UACGGAGGGGGCUAGCGUUGUUCGGAAUUACUGGGCGUAAAGCGCACGUAGGCGGCUUUGUAAGUCAGGGGUGAAUCCUGGAGCUCAACUCCAGAACUGCCUUUGAUACUGAAGAUCUUGAGUCCGGGAGAGGUGAGUGGAACUGCGAGUGUAGAGGUGAAAUUCGUAGAUAUUCGCAAGAACACCAGUGGCGAAGGCGGCUCACUGGCCCGGUACUGACGCUGAGGCACGAAAGCGUGGGGAGCAAACAGG
RNAcentral lists this ribosomal RNA (252 nucleotides) under uncultured bacterium. RNAcentral's name for it is "partial 16S ribosomal RNA". It matches the Rfam family "Bacterial small subunit ribosomal RNA", at positions 524 to 776 of the family's 1533-position model. The record is from RNAcentral.